RNAcentral lists this ribosomal RNA (1008 nucleotides) under uncultured bacterium. Its description in RNAcentral is "bacterial SSU rRNA". It matches the Rfam family "Bacterial small subunit ribosomal RNA", at positions 56 to 1062 of the family's 1533-position model. The record is from RNAcentral.
UGCAGUCGAGGGGCAGCACAGGUAGCAAUACUGGGUGGCGACCGGCAAACGGGUGCGGAACACGUACAGAACCUUCCUUCGAGCGGGGGAUAGCCUUUCGAAAGAGAGAUUAAUACCCCAUAGUAUAUUGUUGAGGCAUCUCAUUAAUAUUAAAGAUUUAUCACUUGAAGAUGGCUGUGCGCCUGAUUAGGUAGUUGGUUGAGGUAACGGCUCACCAAGCCUUCGAUCAGUAACUGGUGUGAGAGCACGACCAGUCACACGGGCACUGAGACACGGGCCCGACUCCUACGGGAGGCAGCAGUAAGGAAUAUUGGUCAAUGGACGAGAGUCUGAACCAGCCAUGCCGCGUGAAGGAUGACGGCCCUCUGGGUUGUAAACUUCUUUUAUCUGGGACGAAAAAAGGGCUUUCUAGCUCACUUGACGGUACCAGAGGAAUAAGCACCGGCUAACUCCGUGCCAGCAGCCGCGGUAAUACGGAGGGUGCAAGCGUUAUCCGGAUUUACUGGGUUUAAAGGGUGCGUAGGUGGGUCUGUAAGUCAGUGGUGAAAUCUCCGAGCUUAACUCGGAAACUGCCCUUGAUACUAUAGGUCUUGAAUUAUCUGGAGGUAAGCGGAAUAUGUCAUGUAGCGGUGAAAUGCUUAGAUAUGACAUAGAACACCAAUUGCGAAGGCAGCUUACUACGGAUUGAUUGACACUGAGGCACGAAAGCGUGGGGAUCAAGCAGGAUUAGAUACCCUGGUAGUCCACGCCCUAAACGAUGGAUACUCGACAUCAGCGAUACACUGUUGGUGUCUGAGCGAAAGCAUUAAGUAUCCCACCUGGGAAGUACGAUCGCAAGAUUGAAACUCAAAGGAAUUGACGGGGGUCCGCACAAGCGGUGGANCAUGUGGUUUAAUUCGAUGAUACGCGAGGAACCUUACCUGGGCUAGAAUGCGGUUUGACCGUAGGUGAAAGCUUAUUUUGUAGCAAUACACAGAUCGUANNNGCUGCAUGGCUGUCGNCAGCUCG